RNAcentral lists this ribosomal RNA (494 nucleotides) under uncultured bacterium. RNAcentral describes it as "partial 16S ribosomal RNA". It matches the Rfam family "Bacterial small subunit ribosomal RNA", at positions 28 to 507 of the family's 1533-position model. The record is from RNAcentral.
GACGAACGCUGGCGGCGUGCUUAACACAUGCAAGUCGAACGGUGAAGCGCCUUCCUUUUUGGUGGGUGUGGAUGAGUGGCGAACGGGUGAGUAACACGUGAGUAACCUGCCCCCUUCUUCUGGAUAACCGCAUGAAAGUGUGGCUAAUACGGGAUAUUCUGGGUCUGUCGCAUGAUGGGUCUGGGAAAGAUAUUGUUUCGGUGGGGGAUGGGCUCGCGGCCUAUCAGCUUGUUGGUGGGGUGAUGGCCUACCAAGGCGGUGACGGGUAGCCGGCCUGAGAGGGUGGACGGUCACACUGGGACUGAGACACGGCCCAGACUCCUGCGGGAGGCAGCAGUGGGGAAUAUAGCACAAUGGGCGCAAGCCUGAUGCAGCGACGCCGCGUGAGGGAUGGAGGCCUUCGGGUUGUGAACCUCUUUCGCCAGUGAAGCAGGCCUGCCUCGUUUGUGGGUGGGUUGACGGUAGCUGGAGAAGAAGCGCCGGCUAACUACGUG